GAUGAACGCUGGCGGCAUGCCUAAUACAUGCAAGUCGAGCGAACAGAUGAGGAGCUUGCUCCUCUGACGUUAGCGGCGGACGGGUGAGUAACACGUGGAUAACCUACCUAUAAGACUGGGAUAACUUCGGGAAACCGGAGCUAAUACCGGAUAAUAUAUUGAACCGCAUGGUUCAAUAGUGAAAGACGGUUUUGCUGUCACUUAUAGAUGGAUCCGCGCCGCAUUAGCUAGUUGGUAAGGUAACGGCUUACCAAGGCAACGAUGCGUAGCCGACCUGAGAGGGUGAUCGGCAACACUGGAACUGAGACACGGUCCAGACUCCUACGGGAGGCAGCAGUAGGGAAUCUUCCGCAAUGGGCGAAAGCCUGACGGAGCAACGCCGCGUGAGUGAUGAAGGUCUUCGGAUCGUAAAACUCUGUUAUUAGGGAAGAACAAAUGUGUAAGUAACUAUGCACGUCUUGACGGUACCUAAUCAGAAAGCCACGGCUAACUACGUG
RNAcentral lists this ribosomal RNA (497 nucleotides) under uncultured bacterium. RNAcentral's name for it is "partial 16S ribosomal RNA". It matches the Rfam family "Bacterial small subunit ribosomal RNA", at positions 28 to 507 of the family's 1533-position model. The record is from RNAcentral.